CUACGGGGUGCUGCAGUGAGGAAUAUUGGACAAUGGUCGAAAGACUGAUCCAGCCAUGCCGCGUGCAGGAUGACUGCCCUAUGGGUUGUAAACUGCUUUUAUACGGGAAGAAAAACACCUACGUGUAGGUGACUGACGGUACCGUAAGAAUAAGGACCGGCUAACUCCGUGUCAGCAGCCGCGGUAAUACGGAGGGUCCAAGCGUUAUCCGGAAUCAUUGGGUUUAAAGGGUCCGUAGGCGGGCUAUUAAGUCAGAGGUGAAAGUUUGCAGCUCAACUGUAAAAUUGCCUUUGAUACUGAUAGUCUUGAAUUGUAGUGAAGUGGUUAGAAUAUGUGGUGUAGCGGUGAAAUGCAUAGAUAUCACAUAAAAUACCGAUUGCGAAGGCAGAUCACUAACUAUAUAUUGACGCUGAGGGACGAAAGCGUGGGGAGCGAACGGGAUUAGAUACCCCGGUAGUC
This 459-nucleotide ribosomal RNA is filed under the name uncultured bacterium. Its description in RNAcentral is "partial 16S ribosomal RNA". It matches the Rfam family "Bacterial small subunit ribosomal RNA", at positions 339 to 795 of the family's 1533-position model. The record is from RNAcentral.